GGAUCCUAUGAACAAGAAUUUUGGAGAUGAUUUUGUAAAACAUAGUGCAAAGACCAAUAGGCCGAAGAUCCUUCAUAGAUUGCACAUUUUGGACUUUAGGAAUAAGAGAAAUAACAGUGUUGUUGAAACCUCUUAAGAGUUACCUAGUAUGAAAGAAUUCCCGAACUGCAGCACAAAGAUCAUAUUGAAGCACAUGCCAAUAUUUUUGAUAGAAAGAUAGUUAAA
This 225-nucleotide unclassified non-coding RNA is filed under the name Hevea brasiliensis (rubber tree). Lineage: Eukaryota; Viridiplantae; Streptophyta; Magnoliopsida; Malpighiales; Euphorbiaceae. The record is from RNAcentral.